ACUUUGUGCUUGACGGGUUUAUAACAUGAUGAUAGUAGUAUGUGAUGGUCAUCUCCAUGCUCUAUUAUGUCUCAUAAGUUGUUGUGUUGAUACCAUUUGUUCCACAGAUUUGGUGCUAAAUUUAACAUUUUUUUACCACUGGAGAAUUGAUAAAAAUGAUCAAUAAUCCCUC
Molecule: long non-coding RNA, 172 nt
Organism: Sebastes umbrosus (honeycomb rockfish)
Lineage: Eukaryota; Metazoa; Chordata; Actinopteri; Perciformes; Sebastidae
Exons: 3
Source: RefSeq, a predicted model, not a curated record